Acanthochromis polyacanthus (spiny chromis) is the source of this 430-nucleotide long non-coding RNA. RefSeq lists it as uncharacterized. The transcript has 3 exons. The record is from RefSeq and is a predicted model, not a curated record. Lineage: Eukaryota; Metazoa; Chordata; Actinopteri; Pomacentridae.
CCAAACAGGUGAGAAAUGAAUGUUUUUCAGUUUGCCUGUUACAUGGUUGCAUUCACAUGUGAGUAACACUUCCAUCACCUCCGCGUAUUUAUAGACAGAGGACGAAGUACAAUGUGUGUUUUGGGAUUUUAAGAAGAAUGGUGGGCAGGGUGGUUGGAACAACAACGGCUGUGAAACCCAGAGUAUUUCUUCUUAUCAGACCAGCUGUCUCUGUGAUCACCUCACACAUUUCGCUGUCCUCCUGGAUGUAUCCAGAACCCCCAUAAAUCCAGCUGAUAGUUACAUUCUGACAGUGAUCUCAUAUCUUGGUUGUGGCAUAUCCUCCAUUUUUCUCGGCAUCACUCUACUCACCUAUCUUGUUUUUGAGUAAGUCACUCCUACCAAAACCAAAAAUACACACUGUCAUAUGGUUUGGACUGACCAUUUUAUU